Molecule: ribosomal RNA, 563 nt
Filed under: uncultured cyanobacterium
Lineage: Bacteria; Bacillati; Cyanobacteriota
Description: bacterial SSU rRNA
Rfam family: Bacterial small subunit ribosomal RNA
Source: RNAcentral
UGGCGGUAUGCUUUACACAUGCAAGUCGUACGAGAGUUUUUAACUCAAGUGGCGGACGGGUGAGUAACACGUAAGAAUUUGCCUUUAGGAGGGGGACAACAACUGGAAACGGUUGCUAAUACCCCAUAUGCUUUCGAGUGAAACGGUUUUUCCGCCUAAAGAGAAGCUUGCGGCUGAUUAGCUUGUUGGUAAGGUAAUGGCUUACCAAGGCGACGAUCAGUAUCUGGUUUGAGAGGACGAUCAGACACACUGGAACUGAGACACGGUCCAGACUCCUACGGGAGGCAGCAGUGGGGAAUUUUCCGCAAUGGGCGAAAGCCUGACGGAGCAAUACCGCGUGAGGGAUGAAUGCCUAUGGGUUGUAAACCUCUUUUUUCAGGGAGGAACAAAAUGACGUGUACCUGAAGAAUAAGCAUCGGCUAACUCCGUGCCAGCAGCCGCGGUAAGACGGAGGAUGCAAGUGUUAUCCGGAAUCACUGGGCGUAAAGCGUCUGUAGGUGGUUUAAUAAGUCAACUGUUAAAUCUUGAGGCUCAACCUCGAAAUCGCAGUCGAAACUAUUAGA